CCACUGUGCUGGGCCAGGGAUCCAACCUGUGUUCCAGUGCUCCCAAGAUGCUGCUGAUCCCAUUGCCCCAAAGUGGAAACUCCUGGAAUUCUUUGUCUAUAACUCAUUUAAUAAAUUUAAGAGCAUGCAUCAGUGAUCUUCAUCCUCAUAGAAAGUGAACAGCACCCAUUUUAUUUCCUUCACCCAGCCCCACACAGAAAUAGGAUGCCCUUUAAGAUUUUAUCUCCAGCUUUUCUUCAAUUUUAAAGAUAUUUUCCUGGGCCUAGGCUUUUUAAUUUUUCUGAAGCAAAAAUGAAUAAAUACUGUGUCUAUGGUGGAUAAAAAAAGAUAAGUAAUCUUACUAGUUUGCCAAAUAUACACUUCCAAAAAAAAAAAAGGAGGCAUUUACUGUCUUAAGUCAGGCUAAAAAUAAUAUUAUUUAAGGGUGUAUAGGUAAUUGAAGAAAUCAAGUUUUCCCUUCACUUACUAUCUGGAUAAUUGCCUAAUUUUCCCACUGUCAUCAUCCUGUCCUGCUAGUGUUGCUUUAUACACAACCUGGUCUUCCCUUUUGUUGUAUUUAUUUUUUCUUUAAGACACCCUUCAAAUAUUAAAAAAAAAAGAGAGAGGCUAUACAAUUUGCAUCAUGACUUAAAACUAUUAGAAGAUAGGAAUUCAGUAGUUGAGACAAUGCGUUUCAAAACUCCAAAAGAUAACAGGUUUAAAGAAAUUGGCAUAUGUUAGUGAUUAUGCAAUCAUUCAUUUCCCACAGAUUUCUUUUUAUAGGAAACUUUGGAAAAUCCCAGAAGAACUGACCGAGUCAUUUCAACCACAACAGGUUUCUUUCAACAUCAAAAUCAUGGGUAGGAGUGGGCGAGGAAUAAUUUUCUUUCUUUUUUUUUUUAAAGGCAUGGGCAGCCUGGUUCUGAGUGUGCAAAGCUGUGGCUUCCCCUCCUAUAGACGCCUUCUGAACAGCAAAUCUGACUUCCUCCUCAGACCAAGGCAUCCUGAAAACAUCCAAGCAGAGGAAGCAUUUUUUCACCAUGACAUGGGAAAGGGCCACAGAGAUCCAAAUGGAAACGGACAUUUCAUACCAAUGCAUUGGAUGAUAACUGGUACAUCGUCAAGGGACAGAAGUGUCAACAGGCCAAAAUGGAUUAUACUGAUGAAGAACUUGAAACCAAUACUUAACAAUAGAUGA
Molecule: long non-coding RNA, 1177 nt
Filed under: Sus scrofa (pig)
Lineage: Eukaryota; Metazoa; Chordata; Mammalia; Artiodactyla; Suidae
Description: lncRNA (ENSSSCG00030042017.1)
Source: RNAcentral